This 1132-nucleotide ribosomal RNA is filed under the name uncultured Sinomonas sp. RNAcentral's name for it is "bacterial SSU rRNA". It matches the Rfam family "Bacterial small subunit ribosomal RNA", at positions 38 to 1188 of the family's 1533-position model. The record is from RNAcentral. Lineage: Bacteria; Bacillati; Actinomycetota; Actinomycetes; Micrococcales; Micrococcaceae.
GGGGGGGGGCUUAACAUGCAAGUCGACGAUGAAGCCCUUUCGGGGGUGGAUUAGUGGCGAACGGGUGAGUAACACGUGAGCAACCUGCCCUUGACUCUGGGAUAAGCCGGGGAAACUGGGUCUAAUACCGGAUAGGACUCCUCAUCGCAUGGUGGGGGGUGGAAAGCCUUGUGCGGUCUUGGAUGGGCUCGCGGCCUAUCGGCUUGUUGGUGGGGUGAUGGCCUACCAAGGCGACGACGGGUAGCCGGCCUGAGAGGGUGACCGGCCACACUGGGACUGAGACACGGCCCAGACUCCUACGGGAGGCAGCAGUGGGGAAUAUUGCACAAUGGGCGGAAGCCUGAUGCAGCGACGCCGCGUGGGGGAUGACGGCCUUCGGGUUGUAAACCCCUUUCAGCAGGGAAGAAGCGGAAGUGACGGUACCUGCAGAAGAAGCGCCGGCUAACUACGUGCCAGCAGCCGCGGUAAUACGUAGGGCGCGAGCGUUAUCCGGAAUUAUUGGGCGUAAGAGCUCGUAGGCGGCUUGUCGCGUCUGCUGUGAAAGCCCGGGGCUCAACCCCGGGUCUGCAGUGGGUACGGGCAGGCUGGAGUGCAGUAGGGGAGACUGGAAUUCCUGGUGUAGCGGUGAAAUGCGCAGAUAUCAGGAGGAACACCGAUGGCGAAGGCAGGUCUCUGGGCUGUAACUGACGCUGAGGAGCGAAAGCAUGGGGAGCGAACAGGAUUAGAUACCCUGGUAGUCCAUGCCGUAAACGUUGGGCACUAGGUGUGGGGGUCAUUCCACGGUUUCCGCGCCGCAGCUAACGCAUUAAGUGCCCCGCCUGGGGAGUACGGCCGCAAGGCUAAAACUCAAAGGAAUUGACGGGGGCCCGCACAAGCGGCGGAGCAUGCGGAUUAAUUCGAUGCAACGCGAAGAACCUUACCAAGGCUUGACAUGUGCCGGACCGUCCCAGAGAUGGGGCUUCCCUUCGGGGCCGGUUCACAGGUGGUGCAUGGUUGUCGUCAGCUCGUGUCGUGAGAUGUUGGGUUAAGUCCCGCAACGAGCGCAACCCUCGUUCCAUGUUGCCAGCACUUCGGGUGGGGACUCAUGGGAGACUGCCGGGGUCAACUCGGAGGAAGGUGGGGACGACGUCAA